GUUGAUCCUUGGCUCAUGAUGAACGCUUGGCGGCGUGCCUGAUACAUGCAAGUCGUGCGGCAGCGAGUUUAGCACUUAUUUUUUGAUCGGGAUAGACAGAUCUAUACCUAUUAUAAAUCGAGGAAUAAGUGCUAAAUGUCGGCAAGCGGCGGACGGCUGAGUAACGCGUAAGAAUUCACCCCAAAGUGAGGGAUAACUGCCCGAAAGGGUAGCUAAUACCACAUGUGGUCUACGGAUUAAAGCUAUUAGCGCUUUGGGAGAAGCUUGCGUUCGAUUAGCUUGUUGGUGAGGUAAUGGCUCACCAAGGCGACGAUCGAUAGCUGGUCUGAGAGGAUGAUCAGCCAGACUGGAACUGAGAUACGGUCCAGACUCCUACGGGAGGCAGCAGUAAGGAAUCUUCCACAAUGGGCGAAAGCCUGAUGGAGCAACGCCGCGUGCAGGAUGAAGGCCUUCGGGUCGUAAACUGCUUUUAUGUGCGAGGAAUAUGACGGUAACACAUGAAUAAGGAUCGGCUAACUCCGUGCCAGCAGCCGCGGUCAUACGGAGGAUCCAAGCGUUAUCCGGAGUGACUGGGCGUAAAGAGUUGCGUAGGUGGUGAUGUAAGCGAAUAGUGAAAUCUUGUGGCUCAACCAUGAGGCUAUUAUUCGAACUGCAUUGCUUGAGAGCGAGAGAGGUAGAUGGAAUUCCCAGUGUAGGAGUGAAAUCCGCAGAUAUUGGGAGGAACACCAAUGGCGUAGGCAGUCUACUGGCUCGUUUCUGACACUGAGGCACGAAAGCGUGGGGAGCGAACCGGAUUAGAUACCCGGGUAGUCCACGCCGUAAACUAUGGAUGCUAGCUGUUGGGCGAAUCGACCCGUUCCAGUAGCGAAGCUAACGCGUUAAGCAUCCCGCCUGGGGAGUACGGUCGCAAGAUUAAAACUCAAAGGAAUUGACGGGGACCCGCACAAGCGGUGGAUCAUGUUCUUUAAUUCGAUGCUAAGCGAAGAACCUUACCAGGGUUUGACAUCCCGAGAAUUACUGCGAAAGCAGUGAGUGCCAGCUUUUAGCACAGAAGAGCUAUUUUUUGUGUGCUGCAAGCUGGAACUCGGUGACAGGUGUUGCAUGGCCGUCGUCAGCUCGUGUCGUGAGACGUUUGGUUAAGUCCAUCAACGAGCGCAACCCCUAGUGUUAGUUGUAUUUUUCUAACACGACUGCCUCGGUAACGGGGAGGAAGGAGGGGAUGAUGUCAGGUCUGUAUUACCCUUACGCCCUGGGCUAGAAACGUGAUACAAUGGUCAGUACAAUGCGAAGCCAACUCGCGAGAGGGAGCAAAUCGCACCAAAGCUGAUCCCAGUUCGGAUUGUAGGCUGAAACUCGCCUGCAUGAAGAUGGAAUCGCUAGUAAUCGCAGGUCAGCACACUGCGGUGAUACGUUCCCGGUCUGCAACUCCC
This 1430-nucleotide ribosomal RNA is filed under the name uncultured bacterium. RNAcentral describes it as "bacterial SSU rRNA". It matches the Rfam family "Bacterial small subunit ribosomal RNA". The record is from RNAcentral.